RNAcentral lists this transfer RNA (74 nucleotides) under Amanita jacksonii TRTC168611. RNAcentral's name for it is "tRNA-Lys (TTT) (tRNA-Lys-TTT-1-1, tRNA-Lys-TTT-1-2)". It matches the Rfam family "tRNA". Rfam says of the family: Transfer RNA (tRNA) molecules are approximately 80 nucleotides in length. Their secondary structure includes four short double-helical elements and three loops (D, anti-codon, and T loops). The record is from RNAcentral. Lineage: Eukaryota; Fungi; Basidiomycota; Agaricomycetes; Agaricales; Amanitaceae.
GCCCGCCUAGCUCAAUUGGAUAGAGCGUCAGACUUUUAAUCUGAAGGCUGCGAGUUCGAUCCUCGCGGUGGGCU